This is a non-coding RNA of Angomonas deanei, 149 nucleotides long. The record is from the annotation of a GenBank genome assembly. Lineage: Eukaryota; Euglenozoa; Kinetoplastea; Trypanosomatida; Trypanosomatidae.
ACAUAUUCUCGGCUUUAUAGCUAAGAUCAUGUUUUAAAACUGUUCUUAUCAGAGUAACUCCUGAUAUGCCACUAGUUGGCAAACGAGUUAAAAUGAUCGACCUCAGUUGUUUUCCUGGAGUUCCACGUUUCCAGGAGAGCAACUCUUUU